UCAGAAUAUAGUUUAUAUAUUAAAACAUGAAACUUGGAUUUUCAAAAUUGAUUUCUGAAAAUACUUUCUGAA
RNAcentral lists this transfer RNA (72 nucleotides) under Eucoleus annulatus. RNAcentral describes it as "tRNA-Pro". Lineage: Eukaryota; Metazoa; Nematoda; Enoplea; Trichinellida; Capillariidae. The record is from RNAcentral.